UUAAAUUGAAGAGUUUGAUCAUGGCUCAGAUUGAACGCUGGCGGCAGGCCUAACACAUGCAAGUCGAACGGUAACAGGAAGCAGCUUGCUGCUUUGCUGACGAGUGGCGGACGGGUGAGUAAUGUCUGGGAAACUGCCUGAUGGAGGGGGAUAACUACUGGAAACGGUAGCUAAUACCGCAUAACGUCGCAAGACCAAAGAGGGGGACCUUCGGGCCUCUUGCCAUCGGAUGUGCCCAGAUGGGAUUAGCUAGUAGGGUGGGGUAACGGCUCACCUAGGCGACCGAUCCCUAGCUGGUCUGAGAGGAUGACCAGCCACACUGGAACUGAGACACGGUCCAGACUCCUACGGGAGGCAGCAGUGGGGAAUAUUGCACAAUGGGC
Molecule: ribosomal RNA, 383 nt
Filed under: Escherichia sp. E2748
Lineage: Bacteria; Pseudomonadati; Pseudomonadota; Gammaproteobacteria; Enterobacterales; Enterobacteriaceae
Description: bacterial SSU rRNA
Rfam family: Bacterial small subunit ribosomal RNA
Source: RNAcentral